ACUACGGAGAGUUUGAUCCUGGCUCAGGACGAACGCUGGCGGCGAGCUUAACACAUGCAAGUCGAACGCGAACGCUCCUUCGGGAGCAAGUAGAGUGGCGCACGGGUGAGUAACGCGUAGCCAACCUGCCCUUGAGAGGAGGAUAAGCGCUGGAAACGGCGUCUAAUACUCCAUAUCGUCCCGCCCUCGCAUGAGGUCGGAAUCAAAGCCUUCGGGCGCUCAAGGAUGGGGCUGCGUCGAAUUAGCUUGUUGGUGAGGUAACGGCUCACCAAAGCGACAAUUCGUAGCUGGUCUGAGAGGAUGAUCAGCCACACUGGGACUGAGACACGGCCCAGACUCCUACGGGAGGCAGCAGUGGGGAAUCUU
Molecule: ribosomal RNA, 366 nt
Filed under: Bacteroidetes bacterium QS_8_68_28
Lineage: Bacteria; Pseudomonadati; Bacteroidota
Description: bacterial SSU rRNA
Rfam family: Bacterial small subunit ribosomal RNA
Source: RNAcentral